AACUUUACUCUGUGGCAAUAUUGUAUCCAACGAAGUUUAUCCAAGGCACAGUUAUUGCUACUUGAAAAAAUUAAGU
This 76-nucleotide small nuclear RNA is filed under the name Octodon degus (degu). Its description in RNAcentral is "U4 spliceosomal RNA (ENSODEG00000025644.1)". Lineage: Eukaryota; Metazoa; Chordata; Mammalia; Rodentia; Octodontidae. The record is from RNAcentral.